UGGGCAUGGCAUGGACGACAAAGAGCAUGAUUUGAUUGCAUUAUUUGUAUUGUAUUGUUCAUGAACUAUUGGUUGUGUUUAUUGCAUUAUUUGUUGUACUGAACGAUAAACUAUUUGUUUGAGUUGUAAUAACUAUUUAUUGUUGAUUUAUUUUGUUUGUUUGAUCGUUUUUCUCCUAUUUUUUGAAAUGUAUAUGUGGUUUGUGCGUGCUGCGCGCGCUGCAUUUUUGGGCACUGCUGGAGCGGCGCGCGCGCUGCAUUAUAGCGCGGCUGUUGGAGCCAGCGCCUAUCCCCGCGCUAAACCAGCCGAAGCACGCACGGUAAAUACAUUUUUUAGGCGCGGCGCGAAGCGCGGCUGUUGGAGAUGCUCUAAG
RNAcentral lists this long non-coding RNA (373 nucleotides) under Hordeum vulgare. RNAcentral describes it as "long non-coding RNA (HVUL_LNC005678)". The record is from RNAcentral. Lineage: Eukaryota; Viridiplantae; Streptophyta; Magnoliopsida; Poales; Poaceae.